CUACGGGAGGCAGCAGUGAGGAAUAUUGGACAAUGGGGGCAACCCUGAUCCAGCAAUGCCGCGUGUGUGAAGAAGGCCUGCGGGUUGUAAAGCACUUUCAGUAGGGAAGAAAAGCCUGGGGCUAAUACCUCCGGGUCUUGACGUUACCUAAAGAAGAAGCACCGGCUAACUCCGUGCCAGCAGCCGCGGUAAUACGGAGGGUGCGAGCGUUAAUCGGAAUUACUGGGCGUAAAGCGCACGUAGGCGGUCUGGUAAGUCGGAUGUGAAAGCCCCGGGCUUAACCUGGGAAUUGCAUUCGAUACUGCCUGACUGGAGUAUGGGGGAGGGAAGCGGAAUUUCCGGUGUAGCGGUGAAAUGCGUAGAUAUCGGAAGGAACAUCAAUGGCGAAGGCAGCUUCCUGGCCCAAUACUGACGCUGAGGUGCGAAAGCGUGGGGAUCAAACAGGAUUAGAUACCCUAGUAGUCC
Molecule: ribosomal RNA, 465 nt
Filed under: uncultured bacterium
Lineage: Bacteria
Description: bacterial SSU rRNA
Rfam family: Bacterial small subunit ribosomal RNA
Source: RNAcentral